This 66-nucleotide transfer RNA is filed under the name Acraea vestalis. RNAcentral's name for it is "tRNA-Ile". Lineage: Eukaryota; Metazoa; Arthropoda; Insecta; Lepidoptera; Nymphalidae. The record is from RNAcentral.
AAUAAAGUGCCUGAUAAAAGGAUUACCUUGAUAGGGUAAACUAUGUAAUUAUAAUUACCUUUAUUG